Molecule: ribosomal RNA, 471 nt
Filed under: uncultured beta proteobacterium
Lineage: Bacteria; Pseudomonadati; Pseudomonadota; Betaproteobacteria
Description: bacterial SSU rRNA
Rfam family: Bacterial small subunit ribosomal RNA
Source: RNAcentral
GGAGAAAAGCAGGGGAUCGCAAGACCUUGCGCUCAUUGAGCGGCCGAUGCUUGAUUAGCUAGUUGGUGAGGUAAAGGCUUACCAAGGCGACGAUCAGUAGCUGGUCUGAGAGGACGACCAGCCACACAGGGACUGAGACACGGCCCAGACUCCUACGGGAUGCAGCAGUGGGGAAUUUUGGACAAUGGGGGAAACCCUGAUCCAGCCAUGCCGCGUGAGUGAAGAAGGCCUUCGGGUUGUAAAGCUCUUUCAGCCGGAACGAAACGGUCACGGCUAAUACCUGUGACUACUGACGGUACCGGAAGAAGAAGCACCGGCUAACUACGUGCCAGCAGCCGCGGUAAUACGUAGGGUGCGAGCGUUAAUCGGAAUUACUGGGCGUAAAGCGUGCGCAGGCGGUUUUGUAAGUCAGAUGAGGGAUCCCCGGGCUUAACCUGGGAACUGCGUUUGAUUAAACGGAGCUAGAAGGGC